This 453-nucleotide long non-coding RNA is filed under the name Olea europaea subsp. europaea. The record is from RNAcentral. Lineage: Eukaryota; Viridiplantae; Streptophyta; Magnoliopsida; Lamiales; Oleaceae.
CCUAGACUUAUAAUUAGGAACAACUUCAAAAUGACUUAGACCUAUAGAGCAAUUCAUAGAACUGUUAUAUGCAAUUUGAACAGUUGGGAAGAUCAAAUUCCAAGCAAGAUUACAUAAAUCAUCAGUACCUUUAGGUUGGAUAAAGGUACGAUAUACGAUACUUAACUAAGAGGUCUUGAGAACAAGAGGUACAACACCUAGAGUCAUAGGAAAAGUCCGGAUACUACCUAAUGAGGUGUCCUCAUUAUCAUCUAAGAUAUCAAAAUCUUCAAGUUUAGGUUCAUAGACUAGAUCCUUUAAUGGCUCAUCUAUUACAUUCUUUUGUUCUUCCAUGGUUAAGGUUCGGCUAGGACAUUUGGAAGAGAUGUGGCCAAAGUCCUUACAGCUGACGCACAGCAAGUGAGAAGAAGUCCUUGGAAUUUCAGAAAUUUUACCCUUAUUUUUCGACAGAGG